This is a long non-coding RNA of Sapajus apella (tufted capuchin), 1527 nucleotides long. RefSeq lists it as uncharacterized. NCBI's taxonomy places the organism in Eukaryota, Metazoa, Chordata, Mammalia, Primates, Cebidae. The transcript is spliced from 3 exons. The record is from RefSeq and is a predicted model, not a curated record.
UGACCUCAGGUAAGCCCUGUGAGUGGGCAACACGUCUGUCCCCAUGUAAUCAUAGUGAGCAGGCGGCAUGUCUGUCGCAGGUAAGCCCUGUGAGCGGCACAUCUGUCCCCGGUAAUCAUAGUGAGUGUCCCCAGGUAAGCCCCAUGAGCAGGUGGCACAUGUGUCCCCAUGUAAUCAUAGCGAGCAGGUGGCAUGUUUGUCCCAGGUAAGCCCUGUGAAUAGGUGGCACAUCUGUCCCCAGGUAAGCCCCAUGAGCGGGCAGCACAUCUGUCCCCAGGUAAUCCUAGUGAGUUUCCCCAGGUAAGCCCCAUGAGCAGGUGCCACAUCUGUCCCCACAUAAUCAUGUGAGCGGGCAGCAUGUCUGUCCCAGGUAAGCCCUGUGAGCGGGCAACACAUCUGUCUCAGGCAAUCCCUGUGAGUGGGCAGCAUGUCUGUCCCCAGGUAAGCCCUGUGAGUGGGCAGUACCUCUGUCUCCUGGGCCUGGUGCCAGCCCACUGAUGAGCACAGAGGCCUCAGCCAGGAGUGAGGGAGCACACGCGUCACCCUCCAGUCUAACCUGAUGUUUGCAGCCCCAGCACCGGCACCAACAGCCCUCAAGAAAGAAUAGAAUUAGAUGUGGGAGAAGCAAGCUAUCGGGAAGUAAAUGAUCAUGGAUCCUGGUUUAUGAAAUACCACUCAUUCUUAUUGGAAAUGAGCUAUAUCCCUAACAAUUUUAAGAGCAAAUACCUUAUGUAAAUGUGGAUCAAAUGCUUCAGAAAGAGCUUCCAGAUUGAGCUUUAAUUGAAUUUAAACUAAAUAUAACAACUUUGCAAGACUGCUUCAAAGAAAGCCCUGAAAUUCAUUUUGAAGGCGGAAGUCACUCCGGCCUCGGCAGGACAGAAGUACAGGUGAAGGCAGCUGUUUACUUAUAUAAUUACUUGAUAUAGGUCAAACCCAAAAGUCUUUGGGGAUCACUGAAGGCAAUUCAGUCUGCAAACGUUCAUAUUCUUUGCUAUGGUUUGUUUCCCUGGAGACUCCAUUUUCUCCUGUUAUAAAUAACCCCAAUGUGUCUAGCCAGUCCAGGCAUCAGACCCUUUGAUACAGUUCUGAUUGUUUGGACAGGAAAACGGUGCCCGAGGAUCUCUCCCUGGCUGCUGUUGGCUGCUUGUUGAAGACCCACUCUAUGGCUGCUGGUGUGAAACAGUAAGGCAGGCCUGAUGGUCAGAGGGAGGAGGAGGGUGGCCAGAAGGAGGACAGUCUGAUGGCCAGGGGGAAGAGGGUGAUGGUCAGAGAGAGGAGGGUGAUGGUCACAGGGAGGAGAGUCUGAUGACCAAAAGGAAUAGGGUGAUAGUCAGAGGGAGGAGGAGGAUGGUCACAUGGAGGAGUGUCUGAUGGCCACGGGGAAGAGGGUAAUGUCAAAGGGAGAAGAGUGAUGAUCAGAGGGAGGAGCAUGAUGGCCAGAGGGGAAGGGUCUGAUAAUUAGAGGGAGGAAGGUCUGAGGGUCCAUGUGAAAUAGGUCUGAUGACCAGUGCUCAAAGUUCAUGAGUA